UGUUGGUUCUCCCGCAACGCUACUCUGUUUACCAGGUCAGGUCCGGAAGGAAGCAGCCAAGGCAGAUGACGCGUGUGCCGGGAUGUAGCUGGCAUGG
RNAcentral lists this signal recognition particle RNA (97 nucleotides) under Escherichia coli. RNAcentral's name for it is "signal recognition particle sRNA small type". It matches the Rfam family "Bacterial small signal recognition particle RNA". From Rfam's summary of the family: The signal recognition particle (SRP) is a universally conserved ribonucleoprotein involved in the co-translational targeting of proteins to membranes. Archaeal SRP consists of a 7S RNA and homologues of the eukaryotic SRP19 and SRP54 proteins. In most bacteria, the SRP consists of a 4.5S RNA and the Ffh protein (a homologue of the eukaryotic SRP54 protein). The record is from RNAcentral. Lineage: Bacteria; Pseudomonadati; Pseudomonadota; Gammaproteobacteria; Enterobacterales; Enterobacteriaceae.